Molecule: ribosomal RNA, 433 nt
Filed under: uncultured bacterium
Lineage: Bacteria
Description: partial 16S ribosomal RNA
Rfam family: Bacterial small subunit ribosomal RNA
Source: RNAcentral
AACGAACGCUGGCGGCAUGCCUAACACAUGCAAGUCGAACGAGACCUUCGGGUCUAGUGGCGCACGGGUGCGUAACGCGUGGGAACCUGCCCUUAGGUUCGGAAUAACUCCCCGAAAGGGGUGCUAAUACCGGAUAAUGUCUUCGGACCAAAGAUUUAUCGCCUUUGGAUGGGCCCGCGUUGGAUUAGCUAGUUAGUAGGGUAAAAGCCUACCAAGGCGACGAUCCAUAGCUGGUCUGAGAGGAUGAUCAGCCACACUGGGACUGAGACACGGCCCAGACUCCUACGGGAGGCAGCAGUGGGGAAUAUUGGACAAUGGGCGAAAGCCUGAUCCAGCAAUGCCGCGUGAGUGAUGAAGGCCUUAGGGUUGUAAAGCUCUUUUACCCGGGAUGAUAAUGACAGUACCGGGAGAAUGAGCGCCGGCUAACUCCGUG